AAGCUAAGCGGCGCUGGUGAAGCGGCUCAUCAGGUCUAUCAGGAAACCUGAGAAUUGGAGUGAGAAUCCCAGUGUGGAAAAUCAGGAAAGAGGCUGGUAUGAGCGACAGAGAAGUCAUUCAGGAAAGAGGUUAUUGAAUUCAUUGGAGAAUGAAUGCUGUUCUGAAUUUGGAGAUCUCCAUGACUCUUUACGUUUCAAGUAUCUUAAGGGAAAUACUACAAAAUGUCGCAGAAGGUGCUGGAUGGAUAUCUAAAGUUCAAAAAGGAAGAGAACCACACGAGCUGGAGAUUCAGGAAGCAUCAGUAGAAGUCAAUGGCCAUUAAUAAAAACAUUUUUUAUUAAAAUAUUGAAUCUGAAUAGAAACCUCCUGUACUUCAUUUCUUAAAUCCCUUGAGGGUAGUAACUGCAUCUUCUCCAUUGAUAUAGCCCCUGCCAAGCACAGUGCCUGAAGGCAGGUCCACAGACAUUGGCUGAAUAAACGAGUGCUCUGUUCCCAGUCCGUACUUUCUCUGUGUCAUAAAAAAGCUGACAUGUCUGUGCUGCAUUUGAGGAUGACACUGGAUUUCCACAUUGCCUUUUCGCCUCAGAGCUUAUAUUACUUCCUAUCAAGUUAUCUCUCUGCCCCUCAUCGCAUCCCAGUGAGAAAGCAGAAAAUCCUAGAAAGUCAUUUUCC
This 673-nucleotide long non-coding RNA is filed under the name Homo sapiens (human). Its description in RNAcentral is "HSALNT0322565". Lineage: Eukaryota; Metazoa; Chordata; Mammalia; Primates; Hominidae. The record is from RNAcentral.